UGAAUCCUGAAGUGUGCGUCAAGGUCAUGUAAUUAAACCUACGUAAUGACAUUGGGAGCUUGAACGCCGCGCCGAUGCCAGGCCUCCUCAGAGUGGAAGGCAGAAGCAGGACUAGAAAGCACCCCCCUAUUUUAGAUAGGGUGUUAAUUAUAACCUGGACGGCAUGUCGGGAUUUUU
This 177-nucleotide non-coding RNA is filed under the name Bacillota bacterium. RNAcentral's name for it is "6S RNA". It matches the Rfam family "6S / SsrS RNA". Rfam says of the family: E. coli 6S RNA was the first non coding RNA to be sequenced, but its function was unknown until recently. The record is from RNAcentral. Lineage: Bacteria; Bacillati; Bacillota.